CGCGUAUGCAAUCUACCUUUUACUGAGGGAUAGCCCAGAGAAAUUUGGAUUAAUACCUCAUAGUAUAUUUGAAUGGCAUCGUUUAAAUAUUAAAGAUUUAUCGGUAAAAGAUGAGCAUGCGUCCCAUUAGUUAGUUGGUAAGGUAACGGCUUACCAAGACGAUGAUGGGUAGGGGUCCUGAGAGGGAGAUCCCCCACACUGGUACUGAGACACGGACCAGACUCCUACGGGAGGCAGCAGUGAGGAAUAUUGGGCAAUGCUCGAGAGAGUGACCCAGCCAUGCCGCGUGCAGGAUGACUGCCCUAUGGGUUGUAAACUGCUUUUAUACGAGAAGAAACACCUCUUUGCGAAGAGACUUGACGGUAUCGUAUGAAUAAGGAUCGGCUAACUCCGUGCCAGCAGCCGCGGUAAUACGGAGGAUCCAAGCGUUAUCCGGAAUCAUUGGGUUUAAAGGGUCCGUAGGCGGCUUAAUAAGUCAGUGGUGAAAUCUCCUAGCUCAACUAGGAAACUGCCAUUGAUACUGUUAGGCUUGAAUGAUUGUGAAGUAACUAGAAUAUGUAGUGUAGCGGU
This 570-nucleotide ribosomal RNA is filed under the name uncultured bacterium. RNAcentral describes it as "bacterial SSU rRNA". It matches the Rfam family "Bacterial small subunit ribosomal RNA", at positions 114 to 682 of the family's 1533-position model. The record is from RNAcentral.